ACCUUCGUAGUGUAGUGGUCAGCACGCUCGGCGCGUAUUCGACAGGUCCGUGGUUCGAGUCCCGGCGAGGGCA
Molecule: transfer RNA, 73 nt
Filed under: Stegodyphus mimosarum
Lineage: Eukaryota; Metazoa; Arthropoda; Arachnida; Araneae; Eresidae
Rfam family: tRNA
About the family: Transfer RNA (tRNA) molecules are approximately 80 nucleotides in length. Their secondary structure includes four short double-helical elements and three loops (D, anti-codon, and T loops).
Source: Rfam by way of RNAcentral